Long non-coding RNA from Capsicum annuum, 536 nucleotides. RefSeq lists it as uncharacterized. The record is from RefSeq and is a predicted model, not a curated record. Lineage: Eukaryota; Viridiplantae; Streptophyta; Magnoliopsida; Solanales; Solanaceae. The transcript has 2 exons.
AAAAUUAUUGAAAGUGGAGAACAAUAACGUGUAUUCAUUGUUUUGGAAUAUCCAACCAACAUUUAAUGUUCUUGAUUUUUCCAUUCCUUCUUCAUCAGAAAGCCUUUCUUCUAAACAAAAAUUUUCUUCUACACCAACAUUGGUUCUUUACUCAAAUCUAGCUCAAAUACUUCAUCUUCAUCUGCGAUUUUCGUUUAUCCAUAUUUUCAGAAUUUUUCAAUGUGUCACGAGGAUAAUAAAAAUGUAUGUAGAUUCAAUGUGUCACUCUAGAUUGCAGAUUCAAGUUUGUUGUUCUAAAAAAAAGAAUAAUAAAAAAAUGGUGAAUAUAUUACAUUUAGAGAAGAGUUUCCAGAUUGAAGAGAAUAGCUUUGGUCUCUUUGAGAAAUAAAGUGAUCAAUAAUGCUGUAGUAGAUUUGAUAUCUCUUUGAGAAAUAAAGUGAUCAGCAAUAUUGUAAUAGAUUUGGUGUUUGAGAGAAAGUGAUAAAUAUGAUCACUUUGAGUUGGUUAAUAAGAUCAAUAAAGUAAUUUUUUUUUUU